Molecule: non-coding RNA, 76 nt
Organism: Podarcis lilfordi (Lilford's wall lizard)
Lineage: Eukaryota; Metazoa; Chordata; Lepidosauria; Squamata; Lacertidae
Source: the annotation of a GenBank genome assembly
GCCAUGGGAACAUCUCAGCUAGUAGAGCACGAGACUCUUAAUCUCAGGCCUGUGGGUUCAAACCCCACGUUGGGCG